This 500-nucleotide ribosomal RNA is filed under the name uncultured bacterium. RNAcentral's name for it is "partial 16S ribosomal RNA". It matches the Rfam family "Bacterial small subunit ribosomal RNA", at positions 29 to 523 of the family's 1533-position model. The record is from RNAcentral.
AUUGAACGCUGGCGGCAUGCCUUACACAUGCAAGUCGAACGGCAGCGCGGACUUCGGUCUGGCGGCGAGUGGCGAACGGGUGAGUAAUACAUCGGAACGUACCCUGUUGUGGGGGAUGACUAGUCGAAAGAUUAGCUAAUACCGCAUACGACCUGAGGGUGAAAGUGGGGGACCGCAAGGCCUCACGCAGCAGGAGCGGCCGAUGUCUGAUUAGCUAGUUGGUGGGGUAAAGGCCCACCAAGGCGACGAUCAGUAGCUGGUCUGAGAGGACGAUCAGCCACACUGGGACUGAGACACGGCCCAGACUCCUACGGGAGGCAGCAGUGGGGAAUUUUGGACAAUGGGGGCAACCCUGAUCCAGCAAUGCCGCGUGUGUGAAGAAGGCCUUCGGGUUGUAAAGCGCUUUUGUCCGGAAAGAAAUCGCGCUGGUUAAUACCUGGCGUGGAUGACGGUACCGGAAGAAUAAGCACCGGCUAACUACGUGCCAGCCGCCGCCGUAA